GACGAACGCUGGCGGCGUGCUUAACACAUGCAAGUCGAACGGAAAGGCCCUGCUUUUGUGGGGUGCUCGAGUGGCGAACGGGUGAGUAACACGUGAGUAACCUGCCCUUGACUUUGGGAUAACUUCAGGAAACUGGGGCUAAUACCGGAUAGGAGCUCCUGCUGCAUGGUGGGGGUUGGAAAGUUUCGGCGGUUGGGGAUGGACUCGCGGCUUAUCAGCUUGUUGGUGGGGUAGUGGCUUACCAAGGCUUUGACGGGUAGCCGGCCUGAGAGGGUGACCGGCCACAUUGGGACUGAGAUACGGCCCAGACUCCUACGGGAGGCAGCAGUGGGGAAUAUUGCACAAUGGGCGGAAGCCUGAUGCAGCAACGCCGCGUGCGGGAUGACGGCCUUCGGGUUGGAAACCGCUUUCGCCUGUGACGAAGCGUGAGUGACGGUAAUGGGUAAAGAAGCACCGGCUAACUA
Molecule: ribosomal RNA, 464 nt
Filed under: uncultured bacterium
Lineage: Bacteria
Description: partial 16S ribosomal RNA
Rfam family: Bacterial small subunit ribosomal RNA
Source: RNAcentral